This 497-nucleotide ribosomal RNA is filed under the name uncultured bacterium. Its description in RNAcentral is "partial 16S ribosomal RNA". It matches the Rfam family "Bacterial small subunit ribosomal RNA", at positions 28 to 507 of the family's 1533-position model. The record is from RNAcentral.
GAUGAACGCUGGCGGCGUGCCUAAUACAUGCAAGUCGAGCGAACAGACGAGGAGCUUGCUCCUCUGACGUUAGCGGCGGACGGGUGAGUAACACGUGGAUAACCUACCUAUAAGACUGGGAUAACUUCGGGAAACCGGAGCUAAUACCGGAUAAUAUAUUGAACCGCAUGGUUCAAUAGUGAAAGACGGUUUUGCUGUCACUUAUAGAUGGAUCCGCGCCGCAUUAGCUAGUUGGUAAGGUAACAGCUUACCAAGGCAACGUUGCGUAGCCGACCUGAGAGGGUGAUCGGCCACACUGGAACUGAGACACGGUCCAGACUCCUACGGGAGGCAGCAGUAGGGAAUCUUCCGCAAUGGGCGAAAGCCUGACGGAGCAACGCCGCGUGAGUGAUGAAGGUCUUCGGAUCGUAAAACUCUGUUAUUAGGGAAGAACAAAUGUGUAAGUAACUAUGCACGUCUUGACGGUACCUAAUCAGAAAGCCACGGCUAACUACGUG